RNAcentral lists this long non-coding RNA (806 nucleotides) under Marmota monax (woodchuck). Lineage: Eukaryota; Metazoa; Chordata; Mammalia; Rodentia; Sciuridae. The record is from RNAcentral.
AUAAAUAGUAGCUUUAUUAUGAACAGUGUUUUUAAAGGGGGCCAAAAGUCACUCAUAGCUUCUGCUAUUUGUUACCAAUCAACAACUUUUACCCAGCACCCAUCCUGCCUGUGCAUUCCUUAUGAUGAAACCUCACUAUCUUAAAUGGUCCAUUUCAUCUUCCCAAGCUAAAAGCAAAACUCCCUAUUUUUUCCCAUUUUCCUUCCUUCCUUCCUUCUUUUUUUUUCUUUAUUUUCUGUUUUUUUUUAAUGGUUUCUAUCCAAAGUGGUCAUCCAAAUAUGAAACAACACUUCAUGGGAAAGCCUUCCAAAUUGUUUAAGACAAAUAAUAGAUGCCAUGGGUGAAUUCUUGUGUUGGAGCUAAACAGGACCUGUCCCUUUGGCCUCAGAUAAUGGACUUUCACAAUCUUUCACCAUCUCUUACUCUUGGGACUGCCUCUGACCUCUUAGCAAAACACCUUUGUUCAACGUACUGUUGUUCAUACAGACUGCACUUUUGUACACAUUUUUAAUGGGCCCUACAUCUGGAUACACCUUGGGUUGCCUGCUGACUACAACUCACAGAUCUUUUGUACAUUUGACAUUAUGUAUACUAUCUAUCAUAUUAUUUAGUAUUAUAGUCACAUAGUUAUACUAUUUGCUUAUAACUUUGGGGGUCCUUGUUUUGUCUUUCCAUGUGUUUCUUCCUGUAAGAAGACAGAAUUAGACUAAAUGACCAAUGAAGCCCCUUUUUAGUAAUUUAUUUUCAAAUAACUUCAAAUUUACCAAAGUGGGGGGAAAUAGUACAAAUAAAUGCUAUUAUGUCCU